CAGUAGCCGGACGUUGAGAGGUUGGACGGCCCACAUUGGGACUGAGACACGGCCCAGACUCCUACGGAAGGCAGCAG
RNAcentral lists this ribosomal RNA (77 nucleotides) under uncultured bacterium. Its description in RNAcentral is "partial 16S ribosomal RNA". The record is from RNAcentral.